UACGUAGGGUGCAAGCGUUUAAUCGGAAUUACUGGGCGUAAAGCGUGCGCAGGCGGUGAUGUAAGACAGAUGUGAAAUCCCCGGGCUCAACCUGGGAACUGCAUUUGUGACUGCAUCGCUGGAGUACGGCAGAGGGGGAUGGAAUUCCGCGUGUAGCAGUGAAAUGCGUAGAUAUGCGGAGGAACACCGAUGGCGAAGGCAAUCCCCUGGGCCUGUACUGACGCUCAUGCACGAAAGCGUGGGGAGCAAACAGG
Molecule: ribosomal RNA, 254 nt
Filed under: uncultured bacterium
Lineage: Bacteria
Description: partial 16S ribosomal RNA
Rfam family: Bacterial small subunit ribosomal RNA
Source: RNAcentral